GAACGCUGGCGGCGUGCCUAAUACAUGCAAGUCGAGCGAGCUUGCCUAGAUGAAUUUGGUGCUUGCACCAAAUGAAACUAGAUACAAGCGAGCGGCGGACGGGUGAGUAACACGUGGGUAACCUGCCCAAGAGACUGGGAUAACACCUGGAAACAGAUGCUAAUACCGGAUAACAACACUAGACGCAUGUCUAGAGUUUAAAAGAUGGUUCUGCUAUCACUCUUGGAUGGACCUGCGGUGCAUUAGCUAGUUGGUAAGGUAACGGCUUACCGAGGCAAUGAUGCAUAGCCGAGUUGAGAGACUGAUCGGCCACAUUGGGACUGAGACACGGCCCAAACUCCUACGGGAGGCAGCAGUAGGGAAUCUUCCACAAUGGACGCAAGUCUGAUGGAGCAACGCCGCGUGAGUGAAGAAGGGUUUCGGCUCGUAAAGCUCUGUUGGUAGUGAAGAAAGAUAGAGGUAGUAACUGGCCUUUAUUUGACGGUAAUUACUUAGAAAGUCACGGCUAACUACGUGCCAGCAGCCGCGGUAAUACGUAGGUGGCAAGCGUUGUCCGGAUUUAUUGGGCGUAAAGCGAGUGCAGGCGGUUCAAUAAGUCUGAUGUGAAAGCCUUCGGCUCAACCGGAGAAUUGCAUCAGAAACUGUUGAACUUGAGUGCAGA
RNAcentral lists this ribosomal RNA (661 nucleotides) under Lactobacillus gasseri. RNAcentral describes it as "bacterial SSU rRNA". It matches the Rfam family "Bacterial small subunit ribosomal RNA", at positions 31 to 652 of the family's 1533-position model. Lineage: Bacteria; Bacillati; Bacillota; Bacilli; Lactobacillales; Lactobacillaceae. The record is from RNAcentral.